Molecule: ribosomal RNA, 746 nt
Filed under: uncultured Oribacterium sp.
Lineage: Bacteria; Bacillati; Bacillota; Clostridia; Lachnospirales; Lachnospiraceae
Description: bacterial SSU rRNA
Rfam family: Bacterial small subunit ribosomal RNA
Source: RNAcentral
GAUGAACGCUGGCGGCGUGCCUAACACAUGCAAGUCGAACGAGAUGCGUAUCGGAAAGCUUCGGCCGGAAGAUGCGUUAUCUAGUGGCGGACGGGUGAGUAACACGUGGGUAACCUGCCUUAUGGAGGGGGAUAACAGAGAGAAAUCACUGCUAAUACCGCAUAAGCACACAUUGCCGCAUGGCAGAGUGUGAAAAGAUUUAUCGCCAUAAGAUGGACCCGCGUCUGAUUAGCCAGUUGGCAGGGUAAAAGCCUACCAAAGCAACGAUCAGUAGCCGAUCUGAGAGGAUGACCGGCCACAUUGGGACUGAGACACGGCCCAAACUCCUACGGGAGGCAGCAGUGGGGAAUAUUGCACAAUGGGGGAAACCCUGAUGCAGCGACGCCGCGUGAGUGAAGAAGUAUUUCGGUAUGUAAAGCUCUAUCAGCAGGGAAGAUAAUGACAGUACCUGACUAAGAAGCCCCGGCUAACUACGUGCCAGCAGCCGCGGUAAUACGUAGGGGGCAAGCGUUAUCCGGAUUUACUGGGUGUAAAGGGAGCGUAGACGGAAUGGCAAGUCUGAAGUGAAAACCCCGGGCUCAACCUGGGGACUGCUUUGGAAACUGUUGUUCUAGAGUGUUGGAGAGGUAAGUGGAAUUCCUGGUGUAGCGGUGAAAUGCGUAGAUAUCAGGAAGAACACCGGAGGCGAAGGCGGCUUACUGGACAAUAACUGACGUUGAGGCUCGAAAGCGUGGGGAUCAAACAGG